GACGAACGCUGGCGGCGUGCUUAACACAUGCAAGUCGAACGAAGUGGCGAACGGGUGAGUAACGCGUAAUCAACCUGCCCUUGAGAGGGGAACAACAGGUGGAAAGGAAGGCUAAUCCACAAUACGGAAUGAGGGGAGUGCGUCUGAUUAGCUAGUUGGAGGGGAAAAGGCCAACCAGGCCGAUGAUCAGUAGCCGGUUUGAGAGGAUGAACGGCCACAUUGGGACUGAGACACGGCCCAGACUCCUACGGGAGGCAGCAGUGGGGAAUCUUCCGCAAUGGACGAAAGUCUGACGGAGCAACGCCGCGUGAGUGAUGGCGGCCUUCGGGUUGGAAAGCUCUGUUAAUCGGGACGCGGUACCGGAAUAGAAAGCAACGGCUAACUACGUGCCAGCAGCCGCGGUAAUUC
RNAcentral lists this ribosomal RNA (408 nucleotides) under uncultured bacterium. RNAcentral's name for it is "partial 16S ribosomal RNA". It matches the Rfam family "Bacterial small subunit ribosomal RNA", at positions 28 to 526 of the family's 1533-position model. The record is from RNAcentral.